UCUAGAGCUAAUACAUGCUAAAAAUCCCGACUUCGGAAGGGAWGUAUUUAUUAGAUUAAAAACCAAUGCCCUCUGGGCUCACUGGUGAUUCAUAAUAACUUCUCGAAUCGCAUGGCCUUGCGCCGGCGAUGGUUCAUUCAAAUUUCUGCCCUAUCAACUUUCGACGGCUGGGUCUUGGCCAGCCAUGGUGACAACGGGUAACGGAGGGUUAGGGCUCGACCCCGGAGAAGGAGCCUGAGAAACGGCUACUACAUCCAAGGAAGGCAGCAGGCGCGCAAAUUACCCAAUCCCGACUCGGGGAGGUAGUGACAAUACAUACUGAUACAGGGCUCUUUUGGGUCUUGUAAUUGGAAUGAGUACAAUUUAAAUCUCUUAACGAGGAACAAUUGGAGGGCAAGUCUGGUGCCAGCAGCCGCGGUAAUUCCAGCUCCAAUAGCGUAUAUUAAAGUUGUUGCGGUUAAAAAGCUCGUAGUUGAACCUUGGGCCUGGCUGGCCGGUCCGCCUCACCGCGUGCACUGGUUCGGUCGGGCCUUUCCCUCUGGGGAACCGCAUGCCCUUCACUGGGCGUGUCGGGGAACCAGGACUUUUACUUUGAAAAAAUUAGAGUGUUCAAAGCAGGCCUAUGCUCGAAUACAUUAGCAUGGAAUAAUAGAAUAGGACGUGCGGUUCUAUUUUGUUGGUUUCUAGGACCGCCGUAAUGAUUAAUAGGGACAGUCGGGGGCAUCAGUAUUCAAUUGUCAGAGGUGAAAUUCUUGGAUUUAUUGAAGACUAACUACUGCGAAAGCAUUUGCCAAGGAUGUUUUCAUUAAUCAGGAACGAAAGUU
This 824-nucleotide ribosomal RNA is filed under the name Neospadicoides thailandica. RNAcentral's name for it is "SSU rRNA". The record is from RNAcentral. Lineage: Eukaryota; Fungi; Ascomycota; Sordariomycetes; Xenospadicoidales; Xenospadicoidaceae.